GCACCCUUCGGGAGGGCAGCUGGGAGCCUCUCCUACCCUGCCGAGCUGGCUCAAUGGAGUGCUUCCAGAUGUGGUCUGCCCAAGGUGGGCUUUCAAAGAAGAAAGGGAUAUGGCAAGGUACAAGGGGGAGGGAAUUCAAGAAGGAGAAAAUGAGAAGAUCUCAGCUCCCUUCCUGCUCAAGGCAGAAAAGCCUGUCACCAGCUCUGACAGAACACUGAACACCAGACAACCUCUAAAUCCCCCGCCUCUCUGAGAUUCCAGAAUGUUCUAGCACUUAGGAGCCUUUAGAAGGUGGAGGGAAAAAAAAGAUCAAAAAGUGUGUUGCAUAAACAAUUAUUUCUGAGGAACAAAAGGGAAGAGAAGUCAAAGAAUUUCAGACUCUUAGAACAGAAUUACUUCUGCAAGAAUUUCAACAAUAAAAGUACUUUUAUAACUCCAAGUGUAUAUUUUGUUACUGAAAGCCAAAAAUAAUAUACUGGCUGAUCAAAACUGACAACACCAACCUCAAAUGUCACUGAAUACUGAAAACAUGUACAGCCAGAUCCGAAUUAACAAGAGUCUAUCCAGACCAUCAAAAUAUAUGGCAGCUUGGCGCCUUGUCACAGAUGGUCAGUAAUGGCUUCAAGGCCAGUAAAGCAGCCGGUGGAAGAAGGAGAGCCAUGCCCUCCAGCACCAAUGCCUCCCCUCACCCAGCAUGAUUACUCCUAAUGGCAGCUGAGGUGCCAAAACCAACAGUGGCAUGUGUAGGCAAACUGUAGCUCCUAGUUGACCAACUAUGCGGUAUUCCGUACAAUCCAUGAACACAUGUGAAAUGGGAGGCCCUGCAUUCUGCGAGGGUAAGCAUGGUGUUUUUGUGCCCUAUCUCCCUGCUGGCAACUCUCUGGGGAGACUUGUGUGCCUUGGUCUGAGCCAGAAGAACAAACUGAGCUGAAGACAGAUCCUUAUUCUCCGGGAGCUCACUUGAUAUGGUAGUACACACGUGUGAUCCUGGCAUUUGAAAGGCUGAGGCAGGGGGUUGGGGACUUAGCUCAGUGGUAGAGCGCUUGCCUAGGAAGCGCAAGGCCCUGGGUUCAGUCCCCAGCUCCGAAAAAAAGAACCAAAAAAGAAAAAAAGAAAAAAAAGAAAGGCUGAGGCAGGAGGAUUGAGAGUGGGAAUUCAGC
Molecule: long non-coding RNA, 1160 nt
Filed under: Rattus norvegicus (Norway rat)
Lineage: Eukaryota; Metazoa; Chordata; Mammalia; Rodentia; Muridae
Description: long non-coding RNA NONRATT032627
Rfam family: tRNA (bases 1018-1080)
Source: RNAcentral